CAGAGGUCUCAACCGUUGUUCGGAUUCAUUGGGCGUAAAGGGUGCGUAGGCGGUCGCGCAAGUCGGAUGUGAAAUCUCGGGGCUCAGCCCCGAAACUGCAUUCGAUACUGCGUGGCUAGAGUGCUGGAGAGGAGACUGGAAUUUACGGUGUAGCAGUGAAAUGCGUAGAUAUCGUAAGGAAGACCAGUGGCGAAGGCGAGUCUCUGGACAGCAACUGACGCUGAGGCACGAAGGCAGGGGAGCAAACCGGAUUAGAUACCCCGGUAGUCCUGGCAGUAAACGGUGCACGUUUGGUGUAGGCGGAUUCGACCCCGCCUGUGCCGGAGCUAACGCGUUAAACGUGCCGCCUGGGAAGUACGGUCGCAAGAUUA
This 371-nucleotide ribosomal RNA is filed under the name uncultured organism. RNAcentral describes it as "bacterial SSU rRNA". It matches the Rfam family "Bacterial small subunit ribosomal RNA", at positions 526 to 896 of the family's 1533-position model. The record is from RNAcentral.